GGGGGCGUGGCGGAACCGGAAGACGCGAAGGCCUUAAAAGCCUUUGUCCGCGAGGACGUGCAGGUUCAAGCCCUGCCGCCCCUA
Candidatus Rokubacteria bacterium 13_2_20CM_70_12 is the source of this 84-nucleotide non-coding RNA. Lineage: Bacteria; Candidatus Rokuibacteriota. The record is from Rfam.